AGUUCAACAUCGUCUUCGGAGACAGAAACAACUGAUAGUGACAAUUCUACCUCUGAGUCUGAGACUCAAGAAGACUCAGUGGAUUCACCAAGAAAAGAACCCAGCAAAAAAGGAAAAAAAAGCGAACAAUCAUCACCAGUGAAGAAGCAAAAAACAAAGAAAAAGACACAGAGAACACCAAAAAA
Molecule: non-coding RNA, 185 nt
Organism: Arachis ipaensis
Lineage: Eukaryota; Viridiplantae; Streptophyta; Magnoliopsida; Fabales; Fabaceae
Source: RefSeq, a predicted model, not a curated record